GAUGAACGCUGGCGGCGUGCCUAAUACAUGCAAGUCGAGCGAACAGACGAGGAGCUUGCUCCUCUGACGUUAGCGGCGGACGGGUGAGUAACACGUGGAUAACCUACCUAUAAUACUGGGAUAACUUCGGGAAACCGGAGCUAAUACCGGAUAAUAUAUUGAACCGCAGGGUUCAAUAGUGAAAGACGGUUUUGCUGUCACUUAUAGAUGGAUCCGCGCUGCCUUAGCUAGUUGGUAAGGUAACGGCUUACCAAGGCAACGAUGCGUAGCCGACCUGAGAGGGUGAUCGGCCACACUGGAACUGAGACACGGUCCAGACUCCUACGGGAGGCAGCAGUAGGGAAUCUUGCGCAAUGGGCGAAAGCCUGACGGAGCAACGCCGCGUGAGUGAUGAAGGUCUUCGGAUCGUAAAACUCUGUUAUUAGGGAAGAACAAAUGUAUAAGUAACUAUGCACGUCUUGACGGUACCUAAUCAGAAAGCCACGGCUAACUACGUG
This 497-nucleotide ribosomal RNA is filed under the name uncultured bacterium. RNAcentral describes it as "partial 16S ribosomal RNA". It matches the Rfam family "Bacterial small subunit ribosomal RNA", at positions 28 to 507 of the family's 1533-position model. The record is from RNAcentral.